Molecule: unclassified non-coding RNA, 1154 nt
Filed under: Hevea brasiliensis (rubber tree)
Lineage: Eukaryota; Viridiplantae; Streptophyta; Magnoliopsida; Malpighiales; Euphorbiaceae
Source: RNAcentral
GGGAUGUUAACUGUUCUUGGAGGAAGAAUGACAGUGGAGAAUCACCAGGGGAGAGUUGGCUUUCUCAAAAUGUGUGAUGAUAAGAAUAGGUUUCUGGAUGCCAGCCAAAAGUCAAAUUUUUCUUAUUUUAAAUGUUCGGCAAAGUCUCAUAGUGUCAGUCCAUAUCACAACAAAGACUCUUUUCUGGAUCUGCACCCUGAAAUUUCAAUGCUUAGAGGCGAGGGGAACAACACAGCAACCACCCCAAGGAAGGAUGCUUCAAGUGGAACUGUUACUGACAGCUUAGGACAUGAAUCUAGUUCAAGUAAUUAUGAUGAAGCUAAGAUCAAAGUAAUUGGCGUUGGAGGUGGUGGGUCAAAUGCAGUCAAUCGCAUGAUAGAAAGUGCAAUGAAGGGUGUGGAAUUUUGGAUUGUCAACACAGAUGUGCAAGCCAUGAAAAUGUCUCCUGUCUUUCCUGAGAAUCGUUUGCAAAUUGGUCAAGAGCUGACUAGAGGACUUGGAGCUGGAGGUAACCCAGAGAUUGGAAUGAAUGCUGCCAAAGAAAGCAAAGAGGCCAUAGAAGAGGCACUUUAUGGUUCUGAUAUGGUCUUUGUCACAGCCGGAAUGGGUGGGGGAACUGGCACAGGUGGAGCUCCUGUGAUUGCCGGUGUUGCAAAGACGAUGGGUAUAUUGACAGUUGGUAUAGUCACUACUCCUUUUUCUUUUGAGGGACGAAGAAGAGCAGUUCAGGCCCAGGAAGGAAUUGCAGCUUUGAGAGAUAAUGUUGACACAUUGAUUGUAAUCCCCAAUGACAAGUUAUUGACUGCUGUUUCCCAAUCAACCCCAGUAACUGAAGCAUUUAACUUGGCUGAUGAUAUUCUGCGUCAGGGUGUUCGUGGUAUCUCUGAUAUCAUUACGAUUCCAGGAUUGGUAAAUGUGGAUUUUGCUGAUGUAAGAGCUAUAAUGGCAAAUGCAGGAUCUUCAUUAAUGGGGAUAGGAACUGCAACUGGGAAAACGAGGGCAAGGGAUGCUGCAUUAAAUGCAAUCCAAUCACCUUUAUUGGAUAUUGGUAUAGAGAGGGCAACUGGAAUUGUAUGGAACAUAACAGGUGGUAGUGAUUUGACUUUAUUUGAGGUGAAUGCUGCAGCAGAGGUUAUCUAUGACCUUGUAGAUCC